Molecule: ribosomal RNA, 460 nt
Filed under: uncultured bacterium
Lineage: Bacteria
Description: partial 16S ribosomal RNA
Rfam family: Bacterial small subunit ribosomal RNA
Source: RNAcentral
CCUACGGGUGGCAGCAGUGAGGAAUAUUGGUCAAUGGACGAGAGUCUGAACCAGCCAAGUAGCGUGAAGGAUGACUGCCCUAUGGGUUGUAAACUUCUUUUAUAUGGGAAUAAAACGUUCCACGUGUGGGAUUUUGUAUGUACCAUAUGAAUAAGGAUCGGCUAACUCCGUGCCAGCAGCCGCGGUAAUACGGAGGAUCCGAGCGUUAUCCGGAUUUAUUGGGUUUAAAGGGAGCGUAGGUGGGUUGUUAAGUCAGUUGUGAAAGUUUGCGGCUCAACCGUAAAAUUGCAGUUGAAACUGGCAGUCUUGAGUACAGUAGAGGUGGGCGGAAUUCGUGGUGUAGCGGUGAAAUGCUUAGAUAUCACGAAGAACCCCGAUUGCGAAGGCAGUUCACUGAACUGCAACUGACACUGAGGCUCGAAAGUGUGGGUAUCAAACAGGAUUAGAUACCCGAGUAGUC